This 479-nucleotide ribosomal RNA is filed under the name Blastocystis sp. 288.4. Its description in RNAcentral is "SSU rRNA". It matches the Rfam family "Eukaryotic small subunit ribosomal RNA", at positions 461 to 953 of the family's 1831-position model. Lineage: Eukaryota; Bigyra; Opalinata; Blastocystidae. The record is from RNAcentral.
GAGGUAGUGACAAUAAAUCACAAUGCGGAACUUUUAGUUUUGCAAUUGGAUUGAGAACAAUGUACAAAUGUUAUCGAUAAACAAUUGGAGGGCAAGUCUGGUGCCAGCAGCCGCGGUAAUUCCAGCUCCAAUAGCGUAUAUUAACGUUGUUGCAGUUAAAAAGCUCGUAGUUGAAAUGUGGGAUGAAGUAUAUAAUGAAUUUCUAAUUCAAUUGUAUAUUGAUUCCCCUCUCCAAUUUAUUAUUAUGGGUAUUAAUUUAUUUGUAAUAAGAACUGGUCAUCUACUGUGAGAAAAUUAGAGUGUUCAAAGCAGGCAUUUGCUUGAAUAGAUUAGCAUGGAAUAAUACUAAAAGGCUUUUAUGGUCGAUUUAAUUGGUUUGUUCAUAAAAGCAAGAUUAAAAGGAACAGUUGGGGGUAUUCAUAUUCAAUAGUUAGAGGUGAAAUUCUCGGAUUUAUGGAAGAUGAACAAGUGCGAAAGCA